RNAcentral lists this unclassified non-coding RNA (1786 nucleotides) under Homarus americanus (American lobster). Its description in RNAcentral is "ubiquitin carboxyl-terminal hydrolase 1-like, transcript variant X2". Lineage: Eukaryota; Metazoa; Arthropoda; Malacostraca; Decapoda; Nephropidae. The record is from RNAcentral.
UUUACAAGUGACCUAUACAAGUAGUCUAUAUGUCAGGUUUUACCAGGAUUCUCUCAGUGUACUACGUAUUCAAGUUGAGGAUUUGACCAAGUACAGUACAGUCUUAGCCAUGACUGCUUUGGAUAACAUGGGUGAAGGCUCAGUACAAGAAGGAGGAAAGUCUCGUCUCUCACUGCGGCAGAGUCGUAAACGCUCUCUCAAUUCAGACAUAUCUCCAGCUCCUGAACCUCGCACCAGUCACCGUUUUCGUACCUCCAGCACCAGUGACUCUGACGACAGGAAUAAAACACCACCCAUGUUACGAAAGAUGAGUCUUGGGAGAAAUGCAACCACCAGCAGCGGGAGACGUACGGCAGGAGGUUCUGCCCAGUCAACAGGUGGUUCAAGUAGUGGGGUUGGAGAUGGGGGAUAUGGUGGUGGUCGAGUGGUUGGGGUGUGUCCUCUGGCUAACAUGGGUAACACCUGCUUCCUGAACUCAGUGCUGUAUGCUCUUAGGUUCCUGCCGGGGUUCACCCAUGACCUCCAUCACCUCCAUAUGCAUUUACAGUCUGCUGGGGACCAGAGUGAUGGUAACCUGGAACAGCGCAUUCAGUUUUUGUCUGAGCUGCAUCGUGUAUUUGUCAGCCUUGGCCAGGAGGAGAGGUCUAGUGCAGACAACAAAAGAAUACCUGCUUUUCAGCCUUACGAGUUUUUAGAGGCUCUGAGAGUUGUUAAUCCAAUGUUUGAGGGUAAUCGUCAACAAGAUGCUCAUGAACUACUUCACUGCCUCUUGGACCAACUGUGCCAUCUGCCACAAGAUCUGCGGCAGGGCAAGCCUAAUGGCACACUUGGCACAGAAUUAACAGGAAUGGAACAGGAAGUUGACCUCAGUCCUCCUGAACCCAAAAGAUUGCGUAGGAGAUCAGAGAGAAUACAGGCUAUUGAAGAAGAUUCCAGCAAGGCCGUUGAUGUUGUUGGUUCUAAAUUUGUUGGCCGCAUGUGCCUAGAAACUUGCUGCUCGGAGUGUGAGCAAGUUACUGGUCGUGAGGAGAACUUUUUAGAAGUUUGUGUUCCGGUUAAAACUAAAGCUGAUUUUGAUGAGGAUGAGAAUGUGAGUGAACCACAAGUGUUUAUGUCUGCCCUGUGUGAGGAAGAAUGCUUACGAGACAACAAUAAGUAUUGGUGUGACCACUGCUUCCAUCACAACGAGGCGCGCCGCUCCGUCCACUACUCCCAGCUGCCGCAUCACCUCGUCAUUCACGUCAAAAGGUUCAGCUCAUAUCAUAGAAAUAUGUUCACUGCCAAGUGUAGCGAAGCCAUGCCAGCGCCUCUAGAACUGUCCUGCUUCUGUCGGGGUUGUCUCACAGAACAGAUUCGGAAGCAGUCACUGGCUGAAGUAGGAAGGGACAAGGGACCUAAGUCAAGCUCAAGUAGUAAACCUGACACGACUCCACACCUUCCUUACCAUCUUACAGCUGUUGUUUGUCACCUGGGAGCUACUCUGUCAUCUGUGCCCUGCACUCAUCAGCAUGCCCGGAGCAGCAAGUACAGAACCAGACACAGCCACAACCACCUAACACUAGCAAGGUGGUGGACUGUCAGUGGAUGAAGUGCUGUGGUCUACAGUUAUCUCAUAUCCGUCCUCAUUCAGUUUUAAAUGGUCACAUUGACAGUGAAGAAAGUAGGAACAUGGAUGAACAAGAGAGUAUGUGGCUGGAGUGUGAUGAUGACAAGAUAAAAUUGGUGAGCGCCUCCGAAGUUAGUGACAUGAUGCGAACUACCAUUAUUACCCCAUAUCUUCUCUUUU